Molecule: ribosomal RNA, 468 nt
Filed under: uncultured bacterium
Lineage: Bacteria
Description: partial 16S ribosomal RNA
Rfam family: Bacterial small subunit ribosomal RNA
Source: RNAcentral
GACGAACGCUGGCGGCGUGCUUAACACAUGCAAGUCGAACGGAAAGGCCCUGCUUUUGUGGGGUGCUCGAGUGGCGAACGGGUGAGUAACACGUGAGUAUCCUGCCCUUGACUUUGGGAUAACUUCAGGAAACUGGGGCUAAUACCGGAUAUGAGCUCCUGCUGCAUGGUGGGGGUUGGAAAGUUUCGGCGGGUGGGGAUGGACUCGCGGCUUAUCAGCUUGUUGGUGGGGUAGUGGCUUACCAAGGCUUUGACGGGUAGCCGGCCUGAGAGGGUGACCGGCCACAUUGGGACUGAGAUACGGCCCAGACUACUACGGGAGGCAGCAGUGGGGAAUAUUGCACAAUGGGCGGAAGCCUGAUGCAGCAACGCCGCGUGCGGGAUGACGGCCUUCGGGUUGUAAACCGCUUUCGCCUGUGACGAAGCGUGAGUGACGGUAAUGGGUAAAGAAGCACCGGCUAACUACGUG